This 1163-nucleotide ribosomal RNA is filed under the name Vibrio parahaemolyticus. RNAcentral's name for it is "partial 23S ribosomal RNA". It matches the Rfam family "Bacterial large subunit ribosomal RNA", at positions 1760 to 2912 of the family's 2925-position model. Lineage: Bacteria; Pseudomonadati; Pseudomonadota; Gammaproteobacteria; Vibrionales; Vibrionaceae. The record is from RNAcentral.
GCGGAUGGAGCUAUUGAGAGUCGCAGAUACCAGGUGGCUGCAACUGUUUAUUAAAAACACAGCACUGUGCAAAAUCGUAAGAUGACGUAUACGGUGUGACGCCUGCCCGGUGCCGGAAGGUUAAUUGAUGGGGUUAGACUUCGGUCGAAGCUCUUGAUCGAAGCCCCGGUAAACGGCGGCCGUAACUAUAACGGUCCUAAGGUAGCGAAAUUCCUUGUCGGGUAAGUUCCGACCUGCACGAAUGGCGUAAUGAUGGCCACGCUGUCUCCACCCGAGACUCAGUGAAAUUGAAAUCGCUGUGAAGAUGCAGUGUACCCGCGGCUAGACGGAAAGACCCCGUGAACCUUUACUACAGCUUGGCACUGAACAUUGACCCUACAUGUGUAGGAUAGGUGGGAGGCUUUGAAGCACGUACGCCAGUAUGUGUGGAGCCGUCCUUGAAAUACCACCCUUGUAGUGUUGAUGUUCUAACGUCGACCCCUUAUCGGGGUUGCGGACAGUGCCUGGUGGGUAGUUUGACUGGGGCGGUCUCCUCCCAAAGAGUAACGGAGGAGCACGAAGGUGGGCUAAUCACGGUUGGACAUCGUGAGGUUAGUGCAAUGGCAUAAGCCCGCUUGACUGCGAGAAUGACAAUUCGAGCAGGUGCGAAAGCAGGUCAUAGUGAUCCGGUGGUUCUGAAUGGAAGGGCCAUCGCUCAACGGAUAAAAGGUACUCCGGGGAUAACAGGCUGAUACCGCCCAAGAGUUCAUAUCGACGGCGGUGUUUGGCACCUCGAUGUCGGCUCAUCACAUCCUGGGGCUGAAGUCGGUCCCAAGGGUAUGGCUGUUCGCCAUUUAAAGUGGUACGCGAGCUGGGUUUAGAACGUCGUGAGACAGUUCGGUCCCUAUCUGCCGUGGGCGUUGGAAGAUUGAAGGGGGCUGCUCCUAGUACGAGAGGACCGGAGUGGACGAACCUCUGGUGUUCGGGUUGUGUCGCCAGACGCAUUGCCCGGUAGCUAAGUUCGGAAUCGAUAACCGCUGAAAGCAUCUAAGCGGGAAGCGAGCCCUGAGAUGAGUCUUCCCUGAUACUUUAAGUAUCCUAAAGGGUUGUCGGAGACUACGACGUUGAUAGGUCAGGUGUGUAAGUGCUGUGAGGCAUUGAGCUAACUGAUACUAAUUGCCCGU